UGGGGAAUUGUUCGCAAUGGGCGCAAGCCUGACGACGCAACGCCGCGUGGAGGAUGAAGACCUUCGGGUCGUAAACUCCUUUCGAUCGAGACGAAUGGUCUCUGGGUGAACAAUCCGGAGAAGCGACGGUACCGAGAGAAGAAGCCCCGGCUAACUCCGUGCCAGCAGCCGCGGUAAUACGGGGGGGGCAAGCGUUGUUCGGAAUUACUGGGCGUAAAGGGCUCGUAGGCGGCCAACUAAGUCAGACGUGAAAUCCCUCGGCUUAACCGGGGAACUGCGUCUGAUACUGGAUGGCUUGAGAUUGGGAGAGGGAUGCGGAAUUCCAGGUGUGGCGGUGAAAUGCGUAGAUAUCUGGAGGAACACCGGUGGCGAAGGCGACAUCCUGGACCAACACUGACGCUGAGGAGCGAAAGCCAGGGGAGCAAACGGGAUUAGAUACCCCGGUAGUCCUGGCCCUAAACGAUGAAUGCUUGGUGUGGCGGGUAUCGAUCCCUGCCGUGCCGAAGCUAACGCAUUAAGCAUUCCGCCUGGGGAGUACGGUCGCAAGGCUG
Molecule: ribosomal RNA, 551 nt
Filed under: uncultured bacterium
Lineage: Bacteria
Description: bacterial SSU rRNA
Rfam family: Bacterial small subunit ribosomal RNA
Source: RNAcentral